RNAcentral lists this ribosomal RNA (280 nucleotides) under uncultured bacterium. RNAcentral describes it as "partial 16S ribosomal RNA". It matches the Rfam family "Bacterial small subunit ribosomal RNA", at positions 335 to 607 of the family's 1533-position model. The record is from RNAcentral.
UUUCCUACGGGGCGCAGCAGUGGGGAAUUUUGGACAAUGGGCGCAAGCCUGAUCCAGCUAUUCCGCGUGUGGGAUGAAGGCCCUCGGGUUGUAAACCCCUUUUGUAGAGAACGAAAAGACACCUUCGAAUAAAGGGUGUUGCUGACGGUACUCUAAGAAUAAGCACCGGCUAACUACGUGCCAGCAGCCGCGGUAAUACGUAGGUGGCGAGCGUUAUCCGGAAUGAUUGGGCGUAAAGGGUGCGUAGGCGGCCUGCUAAGUCUGGAGUGAAAGGUACCGG